UCAAAAACGCAGCCACUUUUCAGCUCAGGAGAGGAUGGAGGCAGCCUGCUACAAGCUAGGAAGCCUUAUCGCGGGUCCUUCAUUUCUGCCACUCUGCAGAUGACAGACAACGUAUUUCUCCGAGGGACACCCAGAGUGGGCAGGCAGAGCCUGUCAUGGUACAAACAGCGACCCCUGUUGGACGACGACGGUGUUGGCAGGAAGAGUCUUGGGGGCCGUCUUGGCCCCUUUGAGCUGCUUACGGAAUACCACAGACUGGGUGGCUGACAAAUAACAGAAGUUUAUUCCUGACAGUUUUGGAGGCUGGAGGUUCAAACUCAAGAUGCUAGCAGAUUCAGGGUCUGGUGAGUGCCCGUGUGCUGAUUCGUAGACUAACUUUAAACUCACAUGGUUGGGGGAUAGGGGGCAAGAAAUCUCUCCUGGACCUCAUUUAAAAACGGUAUUACUCCCUGAAGGCCCACCUCCUAAUAGCAUCACAGUGGGCAUUAG
Molecule: long non-coding RNA, 489 nt
Filed under: Bos indicus x Bos taurus (hybrid cattle)
Lineage: Eukaryota; Metazoa; Chordata; Mammalia; Artiodactyla; Bovidae
Description: lncRNA (ENSBIXG00000003328.1)
Source: RNAcentral